GACGAACGCUGGCGGCGUGCUUAACACAUGCAAGUCGAACGGAAAGGCCCUGCUUUUGUGGGGUGCUCGAGUGGCGAACGGGUGAGUAACACGUGAGUAACCUGCCCUUGACUUUGGGAUAACUUCAGGAAACUGGGGCUAAUACCGGAUAGGAGCUCCUGCUGCAUGGUGGGGGUUGGAAAGUUUCGGCGGUUGGGGUUGGACUCGCGGCUUAUCGGCUUGUUGGUGGGGUAGUGGCUUACCAAGGCUUUGACGGGUAGCCGGCCUGAGAGGGUGACCGGCCACAUUGGGACUGAGAUACGGCCCAGACUCCUACGGGAGGCAGCAGUGGGGAAUAUUGCACAAUGGGCGGAAGCCUGAUGCAGCAACGCCGCGUGCGGGAUGACGGCCUUCGGGUUGUAAACCGCUUUCGCCUGUGACGAAGCGUGAGUGACGGUAAUGGGUAAAGAAGCACCGGCUAACUACGUG
Molecule: ribosomal RNA, 468 nt
Filed under: uncultured bacterium
Lineage: Bacteria
Description: partial 16S ribosomal RNA
Rfam family: Bacterial small subunit ribosomal RNA
Source: RNAcentral